This 325-nucleotide long non-coding RNA is filed under the name Elaeis guineensis (African oil palm). RNAcentral's name for it is "long non-coding RNA (EGUI_LNC058000)". The record is from RNAcentral. Lineage: Eukaryota; Viridiplantae; Streptophyta; Magnoliopsida; Arecales; Arecaceae.
GAAAAACUGCAUCGAUCACAUCGGUGCCUUAGAUCAGAUCUAACUGUUAGAUCUAAUCAGAUGAGUUCAAAACUCAUUAUCUUUAUAUGGAUCGAUGAUCACCACUAUUGAUAGGUAUGUUAUGAGGUUCUUUCUAAUGUCGAGCAGCCGUACAGCUCAUUUGGCCUCUACAGAUUGUCCACUCGAAGCCCUGAUCGGAUCAUCCUUCCCGAGAGUGCUAGCUCGUGCAGCAGGCACUGGAUAGUUAGAAUAAGCUUCUUCUUUUGGAUCACCCAGACUCUUUCAGGUCAGAGGAUGAAGCUACAUGAGGAGGUAGUGGUGUGGG